RNAcentral lists this ribosomal RNA (178 nucleotides) under uncultured bacterium. Its description in RNAcentral is "partial 16S rRNA". The record is from RNAcentral.
GGGCGUUUGACAUGGGCGCAGCCUGAUCCAGCCAUGCCGCGUGAGUGAUGAAGGCCUUCGGGUUGUAAAGCUCUUUUGCCGGGAAGAAAAUGACCCUACCUGUACCAAUAAGCUCCGGACCGCUCCGAGGUCCAGUACGCGCCGGUCUUACUACGAUGCCACCAGCCGCAGGAUAAUA